RNAcentral lists this ribosomal RNA (662 nucleotides) under uncultured Bacteroidales bacterium. RNAcentral's name for it is "bacterial SSU rRNA". It matches the Rfam family "Bacterial small subunit ribosomal RNA", at positions 91 to 753 of the family's 1533-position model. The record is from RNAcentral. Lineage: Bacteria; Pseudomonadati; Bacteroidota; Bacteroidia; Bacteroidales.
GCGACCGGCGCACGGGUGAGUAACACGUAUCCAACCUGCCGAUAACUCCGGGAUAGCCUUUCGAAAGAAAGAUUAAUACCGGAUAGCAUACGAAUAUCGCAUGAUAUUUUUAUUAAAGAAUUUCGGUUAUCGAUGGGGAUGCGUUCCAUUAGUUUGUUGGCGGGGUAACGGCCCACCAAGACAACGAUGGAUAGGGGUUCUGAGAGGAAGGUCCCCCACAUUGGAACUGAGACACGGUCCAAACUCCUACGGGAGGCAGCAGUGAGGAAUAUUGGUCAAUGGGCGAGAGCCUGAACCAGCCAAGUAGCGUGAAGGAUGAAGGCUCUAUGGGUCGUAAACUUCUUUUAUAUGGGAAUAAAGUAUUCCACGUGUGGAAUUUUGUAUGUACCAUAUGAAUAAGGAUCGGCUAACUCCGUGCCAGCAGCCGCGGUAAUACGGAGGAUCCGAGCGUUAUCCGGAUUUAUUGGGUUUAAAGGGAGCGUAGGUGGAUUGUUAAGUCAGUUGUGAAAGUUUGCGGCUCAACCGUAAAAUUGCAGUUGAAACUGGCAGUCUUGAGUACAGUAGAGGUGGGCGGAAUUCGUGGUGUAGCGGUGAAAUGCUUAGAUAUCACGAAGACUCCGAUUGCGAAGGCAGCUCACUAGACUGUCACUGACACUGAUGCU